CAGCAGCCACGGGAAUACAGAGGGUGCAAGCGUUAAUCGGAAUUACUGGGCGUAAAGCGCGCGUAGGUGGUUGUUUAAGUCUGCUGUGAACGCCCUGGGCUCAACCUGGGAAUUGCAGUGGAUACUGGGCGACUAGAGUAAGGUAGAGGAUAGUGGAAUUUCCGGUGUAGCAGUGAAAUGCGUAGAGAUCGGAAGGAACAUCUGUGGCGAAGGCGACUAUCUGGGCCAUUACUGACACUGAGGCACGAAAGCGUGGGGAGCAAACAGGAUUAGAUACCCGCGUAGUCCCUGUCUCUUAUAC
Molecule: ribosomal RNA, 301 nt
Filed under: uncultured bacterium
Lineage: Bacteria
Description: partial 16S ribosomal RNA
Rfam family: Bacterial small subunit ribosomal RNA
Source: RNAcentral